This 253-nucleotide ribosomal RNA is filed under the name uncultured bacterium. Its description in RNAcentral is "partial 16S ribosomal RNA". It matches the Rfam family "Bacterial small subunit ribosomal RNA", at positions 524 to 776 of the family's 1533-position model. The record is from RNAcentral.
UACGUAGGGGGCAAGCGUUGUCCGGAAUCAUUGGGCGUAAAGAGCGUGUAGGCGGCUCGUUAAGUCUGCUGUGAAAGUCCAGGGCUCAACCCUGGAAUGGCGGUGGAAACUGUCGAGCUAGAGUCCGGAAGAGGCGAGUGGAAUUCCUGGUGUAGCGGUGAAAUGCGCAGAUAUCAGGAGGAACACCAAUGGCGAAGGCAGCUCGCUGGGACGGUACUGACGCUGAGACGCGAAAACGUGGGGAGCAAACAGG